RNAcentral lists this long non-coding RNA (3282 nucleotides) under Acanthaster planci (crown-of-thorns starfish). RNAcentral describes it as "uncharacterized LOC110980733, transcript variant X3". The record is from RNAcentral. Lineage: Eukaryota; Metazoa; Echinodermata; Asteroidea; Valvatida; Acanthasteridae.
GGUAUCGUUCCAGAGAGCUUUUACAUGAAGGAUAUGUGCGUUGACAUGCAUGACACCACGACGAUCACCGUUGGUCGCGGCUCGUGUCGCAAACUCAACUUCACAACUAAGAAAGCAAACAGCGUCCUCCGAUAUGAAUUCAUGACAAAAAAGAACAACAUUGACUUUGAGGUUACAUGGGUCAGCUUCCGUGAGGGCGCCAGCAGAGAUGACGUUGCUGUCGUGCUCCCUGUUCAUCGAUGCAACAGUCACAUGGUGCCUGAGAGCGGGGAACUCGAGUUGGAGCGGCCCGGAACAUGUGAGCCGGCAUCAACCUCGAGGCCGUGCAAGUCUUGAUAACUUUUACCCUGAAGAUUCCAGAGUAUUAUACGCAGCUUUCACAGCACGGACCAAAAUGAGCUAUACUAUAUUAUUACAAUAUUAUUACGUACAGUCCGGUUAAAUUGGCAACUUAUUGAGGUAUGAUUGUUCGCAAAAUGUAGGCUCUCCUAAAAGUACUUUCAGACCGAGUUGAUUUCGUUUCCCUUUUUUCCAGAUGUUGUUACUUUUGACAACAGUUUCAGCUGGACAACUGCGAAGACAGUGACUUAUAGCAUUCAGAUACUGGAAUCAGAAGGCAACGGGGAGACUGACAUUGGCAGUGUCUAGCACGACGCACAGGGAUGGAGGAUGAAGGAAUUAAGCCUGGACUAGGGGUGUAUUUGAUUACAUGUAGUGCAUUUUCCGCCACCCAAUGCAGUCUGGGAAUGCUUGAACUGGUUUCGGACAUCAGCAUUCCCUACAGUGAAAGCACUACUGUCAGAAAAAAGAAACUGUACGGAGUUCCUUGUCCCUUCCACGAACACCAGUGUCUUAAACUGUUAAAACCGUGAAUGUCAGUGGCUUCUUUCUGCCAAUCGGACUCGGGAUUUAAAGUUCGUUCACCUGUACUGUACUGACCAACCAUGUUCAUUUAUAAGCCUACAGCGACUAGGCAGCCCUCUUGUUUUGAAGGCCAUUUUUCGUAAACCUUUGAAAAGUUAUUUUUUAUUUUGAAAACAUUUCUUCUAUACCCCUAUGAAUCCAUCUUUCAUCUUUGACUUGAUAAGCAGGUACUAUACUAAAGAAAGUUAUUUUUUAUUUAUGCUUGACUUGUUUACUUCCAAUAAAUCUCUUUUAUUGGACAUCCAUAUCUUGCUUUUCUACCAUUUAAAGCAAUUUAACCAAACUGAGGCCAGUGGCUGGAAGGAAAAAUUGUCAUUCCCUUUUAUCAAUAUGUGCACUUGCAUUACCAUUGCCGAUGGGUCUACAGGGAACAAGACAAACACAGCAGGAUCAUGAUAAAGGUCCGUAGGUUUAAGCAUAAAAUGCUCAACCAGCUGUCGUCCGAUCCCAUGAUGCACGUACACGCGACGGUCACUCACGCAUAUGUCACACGUGUAGCCACCUGCUGAGAGCCCUUAUGAAACAAUGCGGCGCCCUCUUUUGUUUUGCACGCAAUUUGUAACUUCCACUGACACAUGAUUUCUUGUUGGUACCCAAAAUAAUCUAAAAGUGAAAGGUAACAUUUAAGCGAACUAAUGCAUUGCAUGUGUUGUGUUCACAUCAAAACCUUGCAAGAAUUACAUACAUUUAAAUCGGACAAUUAUGCUAUUACAAUAUGGAAUAGGCUAUUCAAGUACCAGUGAUAUAGUGACCUUCGACAAUACUGAUAUAAUAAUCGCGUCUUAAGUGAAAAUGUUCACAUAUAUCUGAAAUAAUGCAGUUGCUUCAGACAGAGCUAAGUAAACCCACGUUCGUUUCAACCGCGGGGGCACGUUCUCUGUUGAGAAACGAUCGCUUCAGUGACUCUCCGCCCUGAGCAGAAGCACCCCCUCAAUGGUUGAAAAGCCGGAGCUAUGGUGGUCGGGAGUGUUCAUUUUGUUGGAAGCAAUGCGACCUUAACGCGUGCGUUGCCCAGCUCGAGGCUCAUAACCCAUCGUAAAAAUAAUGCAAACAUUCACGGCAACACGCAUGGAAACGUGAUGCAUAUAUAUUGAUUUUGCAAAGCUGAGUCAAGCGGUUCUCCUCUCCACACAACUUCAGGAGAGAUUCUCACAAUACAAGGUGUGACCACAAUCUUCACAGUGAUGUACCGACAGAAACUUGUAUCAUAAAUAAUUUGGGUAGCAAUCAGCUAAAAUUCACCGCCCACAGCUUCCCAUUUUCUUCUUGAAUCAAUAAAAAAGAUAUUUAUACACUAUGAGACUUUGAGCUCAAGGGAGUAGAGGGAAGCCAUUUAAAAAUUGCUGCGAGCAGCCUUGGAGGAGAUUGUUUUGCGAAAAUAAAAAGACGUUUCAGAUAACCAAAAAAAAAUGGAAAAGAACUGAAAUUGAUUUGUGUUUUUAAACUUCAGUAAUGUCGGCUUGCAUGUUAUAGAGCCCUGAACUUUGUUGAUUUUACACGGUUUUACUCAGUUCACUGCACCUUUCUUAUAACGGCGACGUGUGGUGGCGCCCUUCAUUUGCUGUUGCCAUUUGAACGGGGCCGGCCGGUGAGCCGGCCUACCAGCCAGGCACUCGGUGCAUGACGUCACUACGCAAAACUCACGCUGCAUCGAAAACCCAUUUUACAUUACAGAACACGGAUUAUGGCGGAGUGACUGUGGACCUGACACACUGCAAACAACACGUGGGUGCAGGGGGUACAUGUGCACGUACUGUACAUUGUACAUGUGUGUACUGAGCGUACGACCAGCUUGAAUCCGUUUGUUUUCGCGUAUCAUCAAGAAAUAAGUCUUUGAGGAAUCGCUGGCACACUUACAUGAUGACAUUGAUGGAGAGGAAGUCAUUAAGAGAAGAAGAUGGAGCAAGAAGUGGCCAAUGAGUGGGCAGCAUCAACAAAAAGAGCAUAGAACCUGAAUUUGGGAAGGCCUCAUUGCUAGGUGAAUGUUCUGCCAUGGAUGCCCACAUGAACGUUGAGGCUGGCUAGCAUCAUGGUGCAAGUGGACUGACUGGUGAAAUCUCCAAAGCGAAGAAGCAGGCUCCGUUAUAAGUAGCACAGACCUCCUAUGAAAGCUGUGGAUAUGCCCCAGGCAAAGUAGACCAUGAUGCUGAUGAGAAGAGCGCCCUCACUUCCUUCAACCAGGAGAGAAGGAAGAUGGAGGACAAGAUCCUAUGAGACUCUACAGAGAUGAUUCCUGAGAAUGUCAAGGAGAGGAAAUAACUCCGAUAGAUGCCAGGCCUCACCUCCAUCACUGAGGAGGAACAGUUUCCAAGAGGGAUCCUCAUCAGAAUCUUAGGCAUUGAUUCACAAACAGGCAAG